UCCCUGGUGGUCUAGCAGCUAACACACUAAGUUCCCAAUGCAGGGAGCCCAGGUUCGAUCCCUGGUCAGGGAA
Molecule: transfer RNA, 73 nt
Organism: Ovis aries (sheep)
Lineage: Eukaryota; Metazoa; Chordata; Mammalia; Artiodactyla; Bovidae
Rfam family: tRNA
About the family: Transfer RNA (tRNA) molecules are approximately 80 nucleotides in length. Their secondary structure includes four short double-helical elements and three loops (D, anti-codon, and T loops).
Source: Rfam